Molecule: ribosomal RNA, 482 nt
Filed under: uncultured bacterium
Lineage: Bacteria
Description: partial 16S ribosomal RNA
Rfam family: Bacterial small subunit ribosomal RNA
Source: RNAcentral
ACGAACGCUGGCGGCGUGCUUAACACAUGCAAGUCGAACGCUGAAGCUCAGCUUUUGUUGGGUGGAUGAGUGGCGAACGGGUGAGUAACACGUGAGUAACCUGCCCCCUUCUUUGGGAUAACGCCCGGAAACGGGUGCUAAUACUGGAUAUUCACUGGUCUUCGCAUGGGGGUUGGUGGAAAGGGUUUUUCUGGUGGGGGAUGGGCUCGCGGCCUAUCAGCUUGUUGGUGGGGUGAUGGCCUACCAAGGCUUUGACGGGUAGCCGGCCUGAGAGGGUGACCGGUCACAUUGGGACUGAGAUACGGCCCAGACUCCUACGGGAGGCAGCAGUGGGGAAUAAUGCACAAUGGGCGCAAGCCUGAUGCAGCGACGCCGCGUGAGGGAUGGAGGCCUUCGGGUUGUGAACCUCUUUCGCUCAUGGUCAAGCCGCAACAAUGGUUGUGGUGAGGGUAGUGGGUAAAGAAGCGCCGGCUAACUACGUG